GGCCAGACUCCUACGGGAGGCAGCAGUGGGGGAUAUUGCACAAUGGGGGGAACCCUGAUGCAGCGACGCCGCGUGGGUGAAGAAGUAUUUCGGUAUGUAAAGCCCUAUCGGCAGGGAAGAAAUUGGACGGUACCUGACUAAGAAGCCCCGGCUAACUACGUGCCAGCAGCCGCGGUAAUACGUAGGGGGCAAGCGUUAUCCGGAUUCACUGGGUGUAAAGGGAGCGUAGACGGCCAUGCAAGCCUGGAGUGAAAGCCCGGGGCCCAACCCCGGGACUGCUCUGGGAACUGUGCGGCUGGAGUGCGGGAGGGGCAGGCGGAAUUCCUGGUGUAGCGGUGAAAUGCGUAGAUAUCAGGAGGAACACCGGCGGCGAAGGCGGCCUGCUGGACCGCGACUGACGUUGAGGCUCGAAAGCGUGGGGAGCAAACAGGAUUAGAUACCCCUGUACG
This 449-nucleotide ribosomal RNA is filed under the name uncultured bacterium. RNAcentral's name for it is "bacterial SSU rRNA". It matches the Rfam family "Bacterial small subunit ribosomal RNA", at positions 329 to 793 of the family's 1533-position model. The record is from RNAcentral.